GACGAACGCUGGCGGCGUGCUUAACACAUGCAAGUCNAACGUGAUUUUUAUGGAAAGCCCUUCGGGGACGGAAGUAAAGUGAAAGUGGCGAACGGGUGAGUAACACGUGAGCAACCUACCUUACACAGGGGGAUAGCCGUUGGAAACGGCGAUUAAUACCGCAUGAGACCACAAAGCCACAUGGCUUAGGGGUAAAAGAUUUAUCGGUGUAAGAUGGGCUCGCGUCUGAUUAGCUAGUUGGAAGGGUAAAGGCCUACCAAGGCGACGAUCAGUAGCCGGUCUGAGAGGAUGAACGGCCACAUUGGAACUGAGACACGGUCCAAACUCCUACGGGAGGCAGCAGUGGGGAAUAUUGCGCAAUGGGGGGAACCCUGAUGCAGCGACGCCGCGUGAGCGAAGAAGGUUUUCGAAUCGUAAAGCUCUGUCCUAUGAGAAGAUAAUGACGGUAUCAUAGGAGGAAGCCCCGGCUAAAUACGUGCCAGCAGCCGCGGUAAUACGUAUGGGGCGAGCGUUGUCCGGAAUUAUUGGGCGUAAAGGGUACGUAGGCGGCCUUUUAAGUCAGGUGUGAAAGCGUGAGGCUUAACCUCAUUAAGCACUUGAAACUGGAAGGCUUGAGUGAAGGAGAGGAAAGUGGAAUUCCUAGUGUAGCGGUGAAAUGCGUAGAUAUUAGGAGGAAUACCGGUGGCGAAGGCGACUUUCUGGACUUUUACUGACGCUCAGGUACGAAAGCGUGGGGAGCAAACAGG
Molecule: ribosomal RNA, 746 nt
Filed under: uncultured Parvimonas sp.
Lineage: Bacteria; Bacillati; Bacillota; Tissierellia; Tissierellales; Peptoniphilaceae
Description: bacterial SSU rRNA
Rfam family: Bacterial small subunit ribosomal RNA
Source: RNAcentral